This is a long non-coding RNA of Neofelis nebulosa (Clouded leopard), 1176 nucleotides long. RefSeq lists it as uncharacterized. Lineage: Eukaryota; Metazoa; Chordata; Mammalia; Carnivora; Felidae. The transcript has 3 exons. The record is from RefSeq and is a predicted model, not a curated record.
AAAGGAUUUCAAACAGGGGGUGACAGGGGCAGAUGAAGGACCAACAAGAGCAGAGGCAGGAAAGAGAAAAGUCUAGAAAUAGCAACUCUGUGUGCUAUUUCUAGAACAGCACAGAAGGUGGUGCUGUAAGUGCAGUACAAGAGGAGCCAGAAAGGUAAGGAGGGACAAGACAGAAAGGCUAGGAUCAGAGCUCAAAUGGCAAAGAAGAGCAGCAGUGACUAUCUGGGUGGCUACUGCAAUAGUCCAAGCCAAAAGGAAGGGUGUGGGGAAGGCCUAGAGAAAGGGAAGAGAUGUAAAAUGGGCAGGACUUGAAGAGUAAGUAGGAAGAAGGAAGACCAUCAAAGAUGACUGAGAUCUGGAGCCUGGAGGUCUGGAGGGGGUGGUGAUUUCAUUGUCAUCAGAAAGAUGGGACACAAGAGGAGGGGUGGAUUCAGAGUUAGGAAAAUACUAAGUAAAGAUACCAAGGAGACAAGGUGAGGAGAAGUUCAGCAGAGAAUCAGAAAUGCAAUACUGGAGUCCCAGGCAGAGAAGCUAAUCUGGGAACCAGGCAUCAGGGGACAGCUGAAGGUGAGAUGAUCCUGGGAGGGAGAAGAGAGCGAGGUGAGGCCCUGGAGAAAUCCCACCCAACACUGCUGAGCGAGGGGAGGAGGAAGGGAGCUAGCAGGAGAGAAGAGUCUGGAAGGAGGAGGUGACUAAGAAGGCGCCACAUCACCACAGCCAAGAAGAAGCUCUUCCUGCUCACAAGUGAUCUUGAAAACGCUUUCUCAGACCUCAUAGGUUCAACCAGGCUCCUCUCCAAGACCAGCUGAAACAGAAGAGAGAAGGCCAACUUGAUGUAACCCAGCACAAUGGCCUGAAAGUGUUCCUCAGCUACUGGAUGGAGCAGACACGAGGGUGUGACAGUGAGGAAAGGGCUCAAAUACAAGAAAAAUUACAAGAAAAGAAGUAUUAACUAAAAGUGUGGCCACAUGUUGUACACCUUAAGCUAAUAUAAUCUUACAUGUCACUUAUACUUUAAUUAGAAAGAAAGAAGGAAAGAAAGAAAGAAAGAGAAAGAAAGAAAGAAAGAAAGAAAGAAAGAAAGAAAGAAAGUAACCAAAAGAUCUUUUAAGCUCCACACUUUCCUCCUGGGGAGCCCUCAAAGGAUGGGGAAAAAAAAGCAGAAGACAGAGGAGA